GUUUCUGUAGUGUAGUGGUUAUCAUGUUCAUCUAACACUUGAAAGGUCCCUGGUUCGAAACCGAGUGGAAACA
This is a non-coding RNA of Chelonia mydas (Green sea turtle), 73 nucleotides long. Lineage: Eukaryota; Metazoa; Chordata; Testudines; Cheloniidae. The record is from Rfam.